This 108-nucleotide ribosomal RNA is filed under the name Brevibacillus laterosporus. RNAcentral describes it as "partial 16S ribosomal RNA". It matches the Rfam family "Bacterial small subunit ribosomal RNA", at positions 1 to 116 of the family's 1533-position model. The record is from RNAcentral. Lineage: Bacteria; Bacillati; Bacillota; Bacilli; Caryophanales; Paenibacillaceae.
UUUAAUGGAGAGUUUGAUCCUGGCUCAGGACGAACGCUGGCGGCGUGCCUAAUACAUGCAAGUCGAGCGAGGGUCUUCGGACCCUAGCGGCGGACGGGUGAGUAACAC